AUAAAGUCAAAGACUUCGGUGUUGUUAUAUGCGAAGCAAAUCUUAUAGCAUGCUCUUGCUUUAGCAGUAAAUUCAUAAAAGCAAUCCCGUGCAUUAAUCAUUUUAAUAUUUACCCUGGAGAAUUCUAAUAAGUGAUAGUACGAUAACUAAAAAUUUAUAACGUCACAAUGCUGAUAGUUGCUUAAAAUCGCGAUAUCAUGUAUGAGUUAGUA
RNAcentral lists this small RNA (212 nucleotides) under Rickettsia prowazekii. RNAcentral's name for it is "partial sR53 non-coding RNA". The record is from RNAcentral. Lineage: Bacteria; Pseudomonadati; Pseudomonadota; Alphaproteobacteria; Rickettsiales; Rickettsiaceae.